UAUUAUUAUAUUUUCGACAACCAGCUCAUGAUGUGGAGAAAAGUAACUGGAGGAGAUAUCUUAGCCGUAGGAUUAAAAGAGAGACGCUUCAAAAUGCCUAACUUUACUACGUAGUGUACAGCAGUUCAUAUACAUCACAGUGGCAAAGCCAAGAUUGUGUGUUUAUUAUCUUCAGGAACAAGGACACCGGUUGCGAAUUCCGCGUACCCACUAUUGCUACCACUCUACGUCAAUGCAUACAGUAUGCAGAUGAAAUGAAUUAAUGUUUUAUAUCUGCCCAGUGCCCAUUGGAAACAACUAGAACGCCUCAUUCGCAGCGAAUCGUACUACUUGAAGAGAGUGUUUAGAUCCCAAAACCAUUCACAAAGCAACCCGGUAUAUGGUAAUGUUAACCAUCAAAGAAGGAAACUUACGAGUGAAUCAAUUGCUGGUCGAAAAAUGUUUAUAAAAUAGACACCCUGACAAGUUGUGCUAAGCACACAGGCUACAGAAUGCCCACCUUUUUGACCGUAAUGCUGUUGAAGAAGUCGAAAGCUGAUGCGACUACUAAAACAAGAAACGAAAUCACAACGGAAUUCAGAAGACUACAAA
This is a long non-coding RNA of Topomyia yanbarensis, 591 nucleotides long. RefSeq lists it as uncharacterized. Lineage: Eukaryota; Metazoa; Arthropoda; Insecta; Diptera; Culicidae. The record is from RefSeq and is a predicted model, not a curated record. The transcript has 3 exons.